UGGGGAAUAUUGGACAAUGGGGGCAACCCUGAUCCAGCCAUGCCGCGUGUGUGAAGAAGGCCUUUUGGUUGUAAAGCACUUUAAGCAGGGAGGAGAGGCUAAUGGUUAAUACCCAUUAGAUUAGACGUUACCUGCAGAAUAAGCACCGGCUAACUCUGUGCCAGCAGCCGCGGUAAUACAGAGGGUGCGAGCGUUAAUCGGAAUUACUGGGCGUAAAGCGAGUGUAGAUGGCUCAUUAAAGUCACAUGUGAAAUCCCCGGGCUUAACCUGGGAACUGCAUGUGAUACUGGUGGUGCUAGAAAUAUGUGAGAGGGAAGUAGAAUUCCCAGGUGUAGCGGUGAAAUGCGUAGAGAUCUGGAGGAACACCGAUGGCG
This 374-nucleotide ribosomal RNA is filed under the name uncultured bacterium. RNAcentral's name for it is "partial 16S ribosomal RNA". It matches the Rfam family "Bacterial small subunit ribosomal RNA", at positions 355 to 717 of the family's 1533-position model. The record is from RNAcentral.